GCCUGGAUAGCUCAGUCAGUAGAGCAUCAGGCUUUUAAGCUGAGGGUCCAGGGUUCAAGUCCCUGUUUGGGCG
Molecule: transfer RNA, 73 nt
Filed under: Albula glossodonta (roundjaw bonefish)
Lineage: Eukaryota; Metazoa; Chordata; Actinopteri; Albuliformes; Albulidae
Rfam family: tRNA
About the family: Transfer RNA (tRNA) molecules are approximately 80 nucleotides in length. Their secondary structure includes four short double-helical elements and three loops (D, anti-codon, and T loops).
Source: Rfam by way of RNAcentral